This 72-nucleotide transfer RNA is filed under the name Acanthoscelides obtectus. Its description in RNAcentral is "hypothetical protein". The record is from RNAcentral. Lineage: Eukaryota; Metazoa; Arthropoda; Insecta; Coleoptera; Chrysomelidae.
GCCUCCGUAGGCCAAGUGGCAGAACACUGGUCUGUAAACCAGAGGUCGUGGGUUCAAUCCUCACAGCGAGCC